GGGCAAUGGCGGGCGCCACUCCCCCAGCCUCGCUGCCGCCUUGCAAUUUGAUCUCAGACUGCUGUGCUAGCAAUCAGCGAGACUCCGUGGGCGUAGGACCCUCCGACCCAGGUCAAUUUUUUUUACUAAUUCCGGGGAGGUCAUCAAUGAUUUUGGGAUAACCUGCAUCCACGGACUGCAUAUUUUCAUCAUACCUGGUAACAAAAAAUAACUAAAAAUAUCACAUUGUGGUUAAUAUAAAAACAAUAAAAAACACUUAACUUUCAUGUAGAACUUUCCAUGUACUAAUCACUGUCCUAAGUGCUUUUCAUAUGAAGAUUCAUUUAAUUCUCACAACAAAUCUGAGAGGUAGGUACUGUCUGUGCCUCAAUUUUGCAAAACCCCGAUGGCUGCUUUUAAAAAUUAUGGGUGGGUACAUUGUUGGCAUGAAACUAUUAAGAAAUUUUAACUGGGAGGGAGAGUGGGGCAAACUAGACAAACUCUAAGUUAUUCUCAACCAUAAAAAUCUGAUUCAAAUUUUCCCUUGGGCUCCAUGUUCUGUCCUAUCAAGGAGAAAUGCUUC
RNAcentral lists this long non-coding RNA (562 nucleotides) under Homo sapiens (human). RNAcentral's name for it is "non-protein coding lnc-DYNC2H1-3:2". Lineage: Eukaryota; Metazoa; Chordata; Mammalia; Primates; Hominidae. The record is from RNAcentral.